AAAAACUUUAUUUUUGGAUUUUCAUGUCCAACAUUGUCCGUUCAUCUUAUUCAAAAAUUUCAUGAGUAAAUUAAUAAAAUAUAAUCAUGCAUGAAGUAUUAUUCAUAUGUUACCAUCUAAUAACAAUAAAAAUAUUAAUUAUAAGAAAAUUUGAAGUAAGACGAACGGCUAAAGUUGGUCACGGAAAUCUAAAAACGAAGUCAUU
This is a microRNA precursor of Leersia perrieri, 205 nucleotides long. It matches the Rfam family "MIR812 microRNA precursor family". The record is from Rfam. Lineage: Eukaryota; Viridiplantae; Streptophyta; Magnoliopsida; Poales; Poaceae.